Molecule: ribosomal RNA, 465 nt
Filed under: Vreelandella stevensii
Lineage: Bacteria; Pseudomonadati; Pseudomonadota; Gammaproteobacteria; Oceanospirillales; Halomonadaceae
Description: partial 16S ribosomal RNA
Rfam family: Bacterial small subunit ribosomal RNA
Source: RNAcentral
CCUACGGGUGGCAGCAGUGGGGAAUAUUGGACAAUGGGCGAAAGCCUGAUCCAGCCAUGCCGCGUGUGUGAAGAAGGCCUUCGGGUUGUAAAGCACUUUCAGUGUGGAAGAAAGCCUUGGGGCUAAUACCCUCGAGGAAGGACAUCACCCACAGAAGAAGCACCGGCUAACUCCGUGCCAGCAGCCGCGGUAAUACGGAGGGUGCGAGCGUUAAUCGGAAUUACUGGGCGUAAAGCGCGCGUAGGCGGUCUGAUAAGCCGGUUGUGAAAGCCCCGGGCUCAACCUGGGAACGGCAUCCGGAACUGUCAGGCUAGAGUGCAGGAGAGGAAGGUAGAAUUCCCGGUGUAGCAGUGAAAUGCGUAGAGAUCGGGAGGAAUACCAGUGGCGAAGGCGGCCUUCUGGACUGACACUGACGCUGAGGUGCGAAAGCGUGGGUAGCAAACAGGAUUAGAUACCCUGGUAGUC